GACGAACGCUGGCGGCGUGCUUAACACAUGCAAGUCGUACGGUAAGGCCCUUUCGGGGGUACACGAGUGGCGAACGGGUGAGUAACACGUGAGUAACCUGCCCACAACUUUGGGAUAACGCUAGGAAACUGGUGCUAAUACUGGAUAUGUGCUCCUGCUGCAUGGUGGGGGUUGGAAAGCUCCGGCGGUUGUGGAUGGACUCGCGGCCUAUCAGCUUGUUGGUGGGGUAGUGGCCUACCAAGGCGGCGACGGGUAGCCGGCCUGAGAGGGUGACCGGCCACAUUGGGACUGAGAUACGGCCCAGACUCCUACGGGAGGCAGCAGUGGGGAAUAUUGCACAAUGGGCGCAAGCCUGAUGCAGCAACGCCGCGUGCGGGAGAACGGCCUUCGGGUUGUAAACCGCUUUCAGCAGGGACGAAGCUUUUUGUGACGGUACCUGCAGAAGAAGCACCGGCUAACUACGUG
Molecule: ribosomal RNA, 465 nt
Filed under: uncultured bacterium
Lineage: Bacteria
Description: partial 16S ribosomal RNA
Rfam family: Bacterial small subunit ribosomal RNA
Source: RNAcentral